This 599-nucleotide long non-coding RNA is filed under the name Calidris pygmaea (Spoon-billed sandpiper). RNAcentral describes it as "lncRNA (ENSCPGG00000010678.1)". The record is from RNAcentral. Lineage: Eukaryota; Metazoa; Chordata; Aves; Charadriiformes; Scolopacidae.
GAAUAUCCAGCUGUUAGACAAAUGAACCAGGCAACCAGGAAUUGUCCAUACAAUGGUUCCAGCACUGCAAAAGCAAAGCCCCUUAGAACAGCUCGUCUCCAUCCUUUAGUCAAAUCCCAGCAGUAACUGACUUGCAGAUCUCCACUUCUGCACUAACAUUUUGCCAUUUGUUGCAUCAUAUUUGUGAAAUGAUUUACACUUCGAUAAAGGAGGAAGCAUGUACAAGACUGAGAAGGCAAGUGAAAUAAUGACUUCUUGACAGGCAAGAGGAAUUUCUGGAAAGACUGAAAACAUGCUGCCUGACCAAAUGAAGUAUUUCUUAACUCAUAUAUCCUGAUUAGCAACUGAAGGAAAUUAAGAACAGCUUGGAGAGACUUAGGGAGAUGAGUAACUUGUAAUAAGAUGGGCACGUGUGUUAGGGAUGACAAUCAGAAGACAUCCUUAGAGUUGUCUAAGCGUUUAUAUCCGUAAUCAAAAGCAUGUACCGUCUGCAAAAAGAUGAAGUUUCAAACAUAGCACAAUGUAUCACUGAUACCCUGAAUGUCUAUUGAAGGCUGUAAUAGAAUAAAGUUAUAUAAUCAAUUAAAGGAAUGUGUACU